UUGGUGUAUUGCAUAGUUUUAGAGAGUGGAUUUCAUUCAAAACUCUCCAAACGACUCCUCCCACCACAUUAUGAUGUUGACGAAGUUUUGGACUCCAUCCAAUGUCGAUUGGCCAAUGAAAUUGGACACUUCAAGUUCGUACGAAGUGUGUUUGGUAAAUGAAGUGGUUGGUGUAUUGCUAGUUUUAGCAAUUGAAUUUCAC
RNAcentral lists this long non-coding RNA (202 nucleotides) under Prunus persica (peach). RNAcentral describes it as "long non-coding RNA (PPER_LNC008000)". The record is from RNAcentral. Lineage: Eukaryota; Viridiplantae; Streptophyta; Magnoliopsida; Rosales; Rosaceae.